UAGUACGGCGAGUGAGCGGGAAGAGCUCAAAUUUGAAAUCUAGUAGCCUUCGGCUGCUCGAGUUGUAAUCUAGAGAAGUGUUUUCCGUGCCGGCCCAUGUACAAGUCCCUUGGAACAGGGCGUCAUAGAGGGUGAGAAUCCCGUCCUUGACAUGGACCCCCGGUGCUCUGUGAUACACUUUCAACGAGUCGAGUUGUUUGGGAAUGCAGCUCAAAAUGGGUGGUGAAUUCCAUCUAAAGCUAAAUAUUGGCGAGAGACCGAUAGCGAACAAGUACCGUGAGGGAAAGAUGAAAAGCACUUUGGAAAGAGAGUUAAACAGUACGUGAAAUUGUUGAAAGGGAAACGAUUGAAGUCAGUCAUGCUCUUUGGUAUUUAUAUCAUUGAGUGGGGUCAACAUCAGUUUUGAGCGAUGGAUAAAGGCACUAGGAAGGUAGCACUCUCGGGUGAACUUAUAGCCUAGCGUCAUAUACAUUGUUUGGGACUGAGGAACGCAGCAUGCCUUUAUGGCCGGGAUUCGUCCACGUACAUGCUUAGGAUGUUGACAUAAUGGCUUUAAACGACCCGUCUUGA
Molecule: ribosomal RNA, 570 nt
Filed under: Naganishia liquefaciens
Lineage: Eukaryota; Fungi; Basidiomycota; Tremellomycetes; Filobasidiales; Filobasidiaceae
Description: eukaryotic LSU rRNA
Rfam family: Eukaryotic large subunit ribosomal RNA
Source: RNAcentral